Molecule: long non-coding RNA, 756 nt
Filed under: Ananas comosus (pineapple)
Lineage: Eukaryota; Viridiplantae; Streptophyta; Magnoliopsida; Poales; Bromeliaceae
Description: long non-coding RNA (ACOM_LNC033694)
Source: RNAcentral
AUUAUUUAUUGCUAUUGACACUAUAAAAGAAAAAUUGAUUAUAAGAUUGCUUUUUAGGAGUUGAGCUAGAAUACUAUCGGUAACAAACCGGCUCCGUUGCCACCCAUUUGUUUUUUAUGAUGGAGCCUCCAAAUCGGCGAUCGGCGCCAUCGAAUAUGAUCUAUACCGCUUGAAGUAUCUAGAAAUCAAAUUUCAUAUUUUUCUGAUAUUAUUCUCUUGUCUAUCAAGUGGGCGUAAAAAUGAACGGCUGAAAAUGAAUAUCCUUUAAAAAGUGAUGAUAGGAAUUUUAUAAUCAAGAUCGAGAGUAUAGAUCUUGUUCUAAAUAGUUUAAAGAAUUUUCUGACCAAAAUUCAAUUGAUUUGGAUAGCUUUAUACCGUUAAAUGAGAAAACGCUUCAUAUCUACCAUUAAAAUUACAAACUUUGAAAUCCUUUAAUCAUUAGGUCAAUGAUGUCGAAAAGAUUUAAAAUUUGGUUUCUAAAUACUUCAAGUAGUAUAGAUCAUGUUCAACGGUGUCGAUUAUUAAUUUGGAGGCUACAUCAUCGAAAACAAAUGGGUGGCAACAGAGCCCGUUUGCUAUCGAUAGUAUUCUAGCUCAACUCUGCUUUUUAGAUGAUGUUUGGAGAAGCGCUCCAAACACUCCUACUAUAUAACAAGUACCGACACUUUAAAAUGCGUCAUCAUAUGAACUACAUCAUUAUUUCUAAUUUUUUCACGCUUUAAAAUAUUAGAAUAUAUUUUAUUGAUGCAUGUUAUA